GAUUAUGUCAAGACUGAUAAGAGUUUUUAUAUCUGUUUGCAGAGUUCAAGAUUUCAACAUUUUAAGAUAAUCUGAAAAAAAUUGGAAUGUGCCCCCAGCUGCCAAUACUCUCUCAACACUGUUUAUCAAAGGAACCAAUAUGGAAGGAAAAACAUUGCUUUGAAGGGAAGAUGGAUGGAUCCCCUAGUAAACUACAGCUUGAGGUGCAAUUUCCUAAAGUUCAAAUGCCUGAAAAAGGAAACGAAAGAAAGAAACUCAACUCUUGAGACAGCUUCAAUGCUAGCUUUGAUCUCAAUUAUAGAGUUAUUUAUGAAAAGUGCAUUUUUACAACUAAAAAUAAAUUAGGAUCAAAAGCUUCUAGAGGCUAUACUAUGGAGUGCUUAAUAAAAAGUUGAGUAAAGAGUAA
This is a long non-coding RNA of Homo sapiens (human), 406 nucleotides long. RefSeq lists it as uncharacterized. NCBI's taxonomy places the organism in Eukaryota, Metazoa, Chordata, Mammalia, Primates, Hominidae. The transcript has 2 exons. The record is from RefSeq and is a predicted model, not a curated record.